RNAcentral lists this ribosomal RNA (465 nucleotides) under Vreelandella stevensii. Its description in RNAcentral is "partial 16S ribosomal RNA". It matches the Rfam family "Bacterial small subunit ribosomal RNA", at positions 338 to 795 of the family's 1533-position model. The record is from RNAcentral. Lineage: Bacteria; Pseudomonadati; Pseudomonadota; Gammaproteobacteria; Oceanospirillales; Halomonadaceae.
CCUACGGGGUGCAGCAGUGGGGAAUAUUGGACAAUGGGCGAAAGCCUGAUCCAGCCAUGCCGCGUGUGUGAAGAAGGCCUUCGGGUUGUAAAGCACUUUCAGUGGGGAAGAAAGCCUUGGGGCUAAUACCCUCGAGGAAGGACAUCACCCACAGAAGAAGCACUGGCUAACUCCGUGCCAGCAGCCGCGGUAAUACGGAGGGUGCGAGCGUUAAUCGGAAUUACUGGGCGUAAAGCGCGCGUAGGCGGUCUGAUAAGCCGGUUGUGAAAGCCCCGGGCUCAACCUGGGAACGGCAUCCGGAACUGUCAGGCUAGAGUGCAGGAGAGGAAGGUAGAAUUCCCGGUGUAGCGGUGAAAUGCGUAGAGAUCGGGAGGAAUACCAGUGGCGAAGGCGGUCUUCUGGACUGACACUGACGCUGAGGUGCGAAAGCGUGGGUAGCAAACAGGAUUAGAUACCCCUGUAGUC